GAUGAACGCUGGCGGCGUGCUUAACACAUGCAAGUCGAACGAAGCAUUUAGGACAGAUUACUUCGGUUUGAAGUUCUUUAUGACUGAGUGGCGGACGGGUGAGUAACGCGUGGGUAACCUGCCUUGUACUGGGGGAUAGCAGCUGGAAACGGCUGGUAAUACCGCAUAAGCGCACAAUGUUGCAUGACAUGGUGUGAAAAACUCCGGUGGUAUAAGAUGGACCCGCGUCUGAUUAGCUAGUUGGUGAGAUAACAGCCCACCAAGGCGACGAUCAGUAGCCGAACUGAGAGGGUGACCGGCCACAGUGGGACUGAGACACGGCCCAGACUCCUACGGGAGGCAGCAGUGGGGAAUAUUGCACAAUGGAGGAAACUCUGAUGCAGCGACGCCGCGUGAGUGAAGAAGUAAUUCGUUAUGUAAAGCUCUAUCAGCAGGGAAGAUAGUGACGGUACCUGACUAAGAAGCUCCGGCUAAAUACGUG
RNAcentral lists this ribosomal RNA (481 nucleotides) under uncultured bacterium. RNAcentral's name for it is "partial 16S ribosomal RNA". It matches the Rfam family "Bacterial small subunit ribosomal RNA", at positions 28 to 507 of the family's 1533-position model. The record is from RNAcentral.